Molecule: ribosomal RNA, 492 nt
Filed under: uncultured bacterium
Lineage: Bacteria
Description: partial 16S ribosomal RNA
Rfam family: Bacterial small subunit ribosomal RNA
Source: RNAcentral
AGUGAACGCUGGCGGUAGGCCUAACACAUGCAAGUCGAACGGCAGCACAGUAAGUGCUUCCUCUUACGGCUGCCGACUGGCGGACGGUUCCGGAAUACAUCCCUAUCUGCUUUUUCGUGGGUGAUAACGUAGGGAAACUUACGCUAAUACCCCAUACGACCUACGUGUGAAAUCUGCGGAUCUUCGGACCUUGCGCGAUUCAAUGAGCCGAUGUCGGAUUAGCUAGUUGGCGGGGUAAAGGCCCACCAAGGCGACGAUCCGUAGCUGGUCUGAGAGGAUGAUCAGCCACACUGGAACUGAGACACGGUCCAGACUCCUACGGGAGGCAGCAGUGGGGAAUAUUGGACAAUGGGCGCAAGCCUGAUCCAGCCAUACCGCGUGGGUGAAGAAGGCCUUCGGGUUGUAAAGCACUUUUGUUGGGAAAGAAAAGCAGCAGGUUAAUACCCCGCUGUUCUGACGGUACCCAAAGAAUAAGCACCGGCUAACUUCGUG